AGAAUUUAGCACUCAGUAUUUUUGUAAAGUUAACAGAAAAGGAGUGAUUAGUUUAAGUAGCUCUGACUUGCUACACAGUUGGCCAGUGUCGACAGUUUCCCAAUCUCAAUUGUGGCUUGUCCAGGACUUUGACUUUGACUUGCUCUAAGUCAAGUUUAGUAGAGGAGCUGCUCAAAAGUCAUUAGGAUGUUUUAGAAGUUUUGCAUUUCAAGCAGGUGAUAAACUGAAAGAAGAGGAGUAAUCACUGCUGAGAAUAAGUAAGCAAUGUCCCACAUGAGUCCAGAUGAAAAUCCAGAGCUCAUGAAAAUGCCUUCCACGAGUCCAACUGGAGGUCCAGAGCCCACAAGAAGCACUCACACCAGUCUCUUUAUGGAUCCGUGCCGGGAAGGCCCAAAGGUCAGCGGUGGAAGCCAGAAAGUCCAUGCUAGCGGGGUGAAGGAGCUGUGCUGGUAGGUUGAGGGUUCUAUGCUGGAGCCGAGAAGUUACACUCACAAGGUCAGGGCUGUUCUGAAAAGCACCACAGCCAUCCUCAGCGACAUGGAGGCCCAGAGCUCCUCUGAUGACAAGCACUGUCAAGUACCUGCCAAGAAGGCAGCGUGAUGAGUUCAUCCUGGAGACCAAGCAGCACACGUCUUGCCCUCCAGAGCCAGGAAGCAAUGUUCCAUGUGAGGACCAAUGCUUUCCCAGGAGAACCAAUGGCUUAAACAGCAGCUCAUAGGAGAACCCACAAUGCCUCAAUGCAAUAAUGCAUUAACACCCUAACACUCUCCUUUUCCAACUAUUUAUGCUGGCAGUUUUCUUCAGGUGGAGCAUCUUCGCUCAGUGCCAUGCUGAUGUAAUCCAGCUGGCGUUAAGUUGACCAACAGUUCUUAAUCCAUAGCAUCAGAGUAAUAGUACCUACAUCAUACAAGUUUUUGUGACUUGUAAAUAUGAUAUGAUCCAUAAGACUACUUAGUACAGUGUUUUAUAAAUGUGAGUUCAUUAAUCAGGUUAAAGCAAAGUGUAAAAGUGCAUUCUAGCAGUGCUCUUUGCCAGGUCCCACCUUUGUGCCUUGUGGUGGUUCCUGGGUGCCUUCCUGAAACUGUUUCAUGAAAAGUAGUUUGAAAACUUCUGGUCUGGUUCCUCUCCCUCAGUUUACAUAUGAGGAACCUGGGCUCUGGAUUGAGGAGUAGCAUCUGAAUGCUCACCAGGCUCACAUAACCAUUACUAGGGAAUUGUGCCACGUAACUAUGCUAGCGGUUGCAGCUCCUCUCUUUGUAUGGUCUGAGAAAUGGAAAGUAAAGCACCAAAAUAGAAAAAGCUUUUAAAAGUAUAAAGUAACCAGUAAAGUAAUAUGCCUUGCCUUGAUGAUGUUUGUAGAGUUUAGUAAACACUGAUCAGAUAGGUGAGCUGAGUGGAUUCUUUUGUCGUUUUUUUACUCUCAUAAAUGUCAUUUUGAGCAGUCUUUUUAAAAAUCAUGUAUAAUCUCCCACUGGAAGUUCUAAAAAAACUUGACAGUGUCUUAGGAGGACUACUCAAUUUAUUUUAUGAUAGAACUAUAAUUCUCAGCAAAUAUGGGCUUUGUGCCACCAUAUCUUGGAUUUGUUCUUCAAAUAGUGACGGAAAUAUGAUAAUGUUUAUGGUAAAUGAUGAGUGAAAUGUAAUAAAACAUAUGGUGUUGAUAUAUAGCUAAUAGUUUGUUACUAGCAAUUUUUGUGAAAUAUCAUUUAAGUCAUAAAUUAUAUCAUUGAGUCUUAAUUACAGAGUCCUUUAUAAGAUAUUGUGCUCUUCUGAUUAACAAAGUACCAUAUAAUUAAUCCUGUAGAUAUACAUUUAAAAUGUAAUGUCAGAUUGUGAGAACAUGAAAAAGAAAGCUAUGCCAUUUACUUUCCAAGAACUUUCCAACUCAGGAAUUGUGAAUUACUACAUGUUUUGAAGAACAGCUUAUGUCAGUCAUUAUCAAAAAAGGUUGAAAUUGUGCCAACCUUGUCACCUGGCACUUCUAGGAAUUUGUUCAUAGGAAAGGAAUCUAAAGGUGUGCAUAAAGAUUUCUACUUUAAUUUGAACAACCUCCUUUCUUACUGGAAAUUUUUUACUUGUAAGAAAAAGAAAAGGAAAUGUUAUAUAAAUAAGUACUUCAUUUGGCAGCCACAAGUCAAGUUCUCUCGUUUUCUUUCUCCUUUUGAGUGAAUGAAAAAGGGAGGAACAAGACACGAAAUGUCAUCCAGUAACACCACAGUGCAGUGAUUAUGUCCUCUGGUAUAUCCUGCCAUGAUGUCCUCACUUUUCUCCUAUCUCAGGAUUAUGUCCCUGAAAGCCUUCCCAGCUCUGGAAGGCUAACCCUCACAUCUCUAGAUGUGACAACCCUAGCUGUGGACUGUGCUCAUUGGAGGUGGGGGAGUUUAGAGAGGUGGGACCAAUGAUGGGGCCAAGCAGUGUUGGGGAAGAAAAAUCCCUGCCUUGUUGACAGUUGGCCAGAAUCUAGUUUAAGGAGGCAAAGCAGCCAGAGUAAAGUCUAGCCUUGUUCUGGUCAGAAUACAUCAUUCUAUAGCAGAAGGGAGUAUCAUCUGUUGAGAUUGAGUGCAGAGGUCUAGGUAUGAGGAUUGUUUUCUCUGCAUUGUUUAUAAUAAUGAAAAUUGUGAGUAAACCAAAUGUCUACAGAGACUGGUUAAACCAUUGAGUCCCUGUUAGGAAACCAUUGAGUUUCCUUUGCUAUGAAAAAUAUCUGAGAAAGUCAACUUAAUGGAGGAAAAUUUGUUUCAUUUCACAGUUUUAGAGGUUCUGGUCAAUGGCUGGUGACUCCAUUGCUUUUAUACAGAACAUCAUGGCAGAAGGGCAUAGCAGCGGAGGUUACUCACUUUAUGGUUUAAGUUCCUAGUGUUUGAAAUUAUUCCAGAUGACUGUGAACUUUUAAUAAUCUAUACUAGAUAGGGUUGGUUGUAAGAUACUGUAUAUAGCUUUUUUCUGUAUUCAGAAGUAUAUUUGAACAGUGGAAACCUCAUCAAAAUUGUUGUCUAGUGUCAUAUUUUAAAACAGAUUUCCAUUUUCAUUUAUUUUGGCAUUGAAUGCUUUUUGCCUGACAUAGUAGUAAUCAACUUUAGUAAUUGAUUAGGAGUCCAGUGUGUAGCUGAAUGUAAUUGAGAGGAUUUGAUGAGUUUCUAAUUUGACAGUUAUAAGAAUUUUAAAUUUAAAUAUGUAGCAGUUACUCAUUGGAUAUAACUUAGUGGGGAAACUGUUUUGAAAUAUUUAUGUCUUUUUUCAGUACUGGAAAUUUGUACCGAGAGCCUUUGAAGUGAGCUAUAUCCUCAGCCUAUUUUAUUUUAUAUUUUGAGACAGUGUCUCUCUAAGUGCUGAGUUGUUCAGGCUGGGCUCAAACUUGCUAUCUUUUUGCUUCACCUUCCAAAGUACUAGGAUUAUCGACAUGUGCCACUAUGCCCUACUUAAAAAAAUUUUUUUAACCACUAAUUUGUAUUUCAGUUUAUAUUAGACAAGGAUAUUGUUAUUACAAUGAUAGAUGCAAAUAGCCUGAUUUUUGCUACUGGACAAGUAUUUUAUAAACACAUUUAUAGAACUGAGUAUAACAGAGUGGUUUUUUUUUAAGUUAUAUAUGCUUAACAGUUAGAUUUUUAAAAAUCUAUGAUAAUAUUGUUUUCCUUUUUUUUUUUUUUUUUUUUUUUUUUUC
Cavia porcellus (domestic guinea pig) is the source of this 3661-nucleotide long non-coding RNA. RefSeq lists it as uncharacterized. NCBI's taxonomy places the organism in Eukaryota, Metazoa, Chordata, Mammalia, Rodentia, Caviidae. The record is from RefSeq and is a predicted model, not a curated record. The transcript is spliced from 3 exons.